Molecule: long non-coding RNA, 994 nt
Organism: Helianthus annuus (common sunflower)
Lineage: Eukaryota; Viridiplantae; Streptophyta; Magnoliopsida; Asterales; Asteraceae
Exons: 5
Source: RefSeq, a predicted model, not a curated record
UCGAUCUAGAAACAUAGGGGGCGACCAACUCACCUACAAACCCUAAUCGUGCAAUUUUCACCAAAUUGAGGGCUCCAAUCUAGUCUAAAUCGAUUUCCAAGCAUGAAUUCGUGAUCACCUCGUUGAAGGGGUCAUAAGGCAAGGAAUCCGGAUCGUCGAGCGGAAAAGCCGGAGGAGAUACGCGUUUGAAAGGUGUGCUUUAAAGUUAAAGAAAUGUCUGCAAUAACCGGAGAUGAUUCGACAUCUCAAUUGACUGAACAAAUGAAAGCUAAGAUUUCCGAGGCAGUCGGAAAAGCUCUAGAAAAUAGUCUAUCACGUUAUAUUGAUAGAUUACAAACCACAAUCGUGCCGGUGGUGGACGAUAUUAUGGCUGAAUUGAAAGACAUCAUAUUACAAGAAAUAGAAGAAAGGAGGGUGUUGGAUAUGAAUCCAAGUUCCGUAAAGAAAUCCAAGUCUAAUAAAGCUCCCAAGAAAGGAGUUACAAAAAGUGUGUUACAUCAGUGCAAAUUUUGUGGAAAAAUUCACAAGGGCACAUGUGGUAAGCCAAGACAUAAGAAGUCUAAAUGUCCAGAAAGGCUUGGAACCAAAGACGCAACCGACACAAUGUCUGAUGCCCAGAAGUCAAGGACAAGGUCGUUUUUUUAUAACAGCCACAGAGGCUAAAGUUGAACCUGAUGUCAUUUCAGGCAAGGAAUCCGGAUCGUCGAGCGGACAAGCCGGAGGAGAUACGCGUUUGAAAAGUGUGCUUUAAAGGUGAUGUUGGAACUAACCGGAAGAUGAUCGAGCUAGCUUUUGAAGAACCGAACACUAAUUACAAGCUUCCGCAGUGUUUUAAACUUUAUUAGAAUAUGGUUAUGGGUUGUAAACAAAUAGCUAAACAACUUUUGGAUGUUUGAAUUUAGACGUUAUUCGACUAAGGUUUUUGCCACUAAUGAACUAUAUGUAUGAAAUUCAUGUUAACUUGGCAAUUUUUAUCUAAAACGUUUUGAAAUUA